This 378-nucleotide unclassified non-coding RNA is filed under the name uncultured Rickettsiales bacterium. Its description in RNAcentral is "contains 16S-23S intergenic spacer region". The record is from RNAcentral. Lineage: Bacteria; Pseudomonadati; Pseudomonadota; Alphaproteobacteria; Rickettsiales.
UCCUACUUAUCAUAGGCAGUUUCCUUAGAGUUCCCAACUGAAUGAUGGCAACUAAGGACGAGGGUUGCGCUCGUUGCGGGACUUAACCCAACAUCUCACGACACGAGCUGACGACAGCCAUGCAGCACCUGUGUGCACGCCACCCGAAGUGAAGAAAGUCAUCUCUGACGAUCAAACGUGCCAUGUCAAGGCCUGGUAAGGUUCUUCGCGUUGCCUCGAAUUAAACCACAUGCUCCACCGCUUGUGCGGGUCCCCGUCAAUUUCUUUGAGUUUUAAUCUUGCGACCGUACUCCCCAGGCGGGAUGCUUAACGCGUUAGCUACGUCACUGAGGGGGAACCCCCCAACAACUAGCAUCCAUCGUUUACAGCGUGGACUAC